GAGUUUGAUCCUGGCUCAGAACGAACGCUGGCGGCGCGUCUUAAGCAUGCAAGUCGAACGGCAUGAGGAAGCUUGCUUCCUCAGAGAGUGGCGGACUGGUGAGUAACACGUGGGUGACCUACCCUUGAGAUGGGGAUAGCCAUUAGAAAUAGUGGAUAAUACCGAAUACGCUCUACGGACUCUGGUUUGUAGAGGAAACAGGCUACGGCCUGGCUCGAGGAUGGGCCCGCGUCCCAUUAGCUAGUUGGUGAGGUAAGAGCCCACCAAGGCGACGAUGGGUAUCCGGCCUGAGAGGGUGUACGGACACAUUGGGACUGAGAUACGGCCCAAACUCCUACGGGAGGCAGCAGCUAAGAAUAUUCCGCAAUGGACGAAAGUCUGACGGAGCGACGCCGCGUGGAUGACGAAGGCCGAAAGGUUGUAAAAUCCUUUUGCUGAUGAAGAAUAAGCGUGGUAGGGAAUGACCGCGUGAUGACAUUAGUCGGUGAAUAAGCCCCGGCUAACUACGUGCCAGCAGCCGCGGUAACACGUAGGGGGCAAGCGUUGUUCGGAAUUAUUGGGCGUAAAGGGCAUGUAGGCGGUUUGGUAAGCCUGAUGUGAAAUCCUGCAGCUUAACUGUAGAAUUGCAUUGGGUACUGCCGAACUUGAAUCACUGAGGGGAAACUAGAAUUCCAGGUGUAGGGGUGGAAUCUGUAGAUAUCCGGAAGAAUACCGAUGGCGAAGCGGGUUUCUAGCAGAUGAU
RNAcentral lists this ribosomal RNA (742 nucleotides) under uncultured bacterium. RNAcentral describes it as "bacterial SSU rRNA". It matches the Rfam family "Bacterial small subunit ribosomal RNA", at positions 9 to 740 of the family's 1533-position model. The record is from RNAcentral.